Molecule: ribosomal RNA, 254 nt
Filed under: uncultured bacterium
Lineage: Bacteria
Description: partial 16S ribosomal RNA
Rfam family: Bacterial small subunit ribosomal RNA
Source: RNAcentral
GACGGAGGAUGCAAGCGUUAUCCGGAAUGAUUGGGCGUAAAGCGUCCGCAGGUGGCAGUUCAAGUCUGCUGUCAAAGACCGGGGCUUAACUUCGGAAAGGCAGUGGAAACUGAACAGCUAGAGUAUGGUAGGGGCAGAGGGAAUUCCUGGUGUAGCGGUGAAAUGCGUAGAGAUCAGGAAGAACAUCGGUGGCGAAGGCGCUCUGCUGGGCCACAACUGACACUCACAGGACGAAAGCUAGGGGAGCGAAUGGG